This 591-nucleotide ribosomal RNA is filed under the name uncultured bacterium. RNAcentral describes it as "bacterial SSU rRNA". It matches the Rfam family "Bacterial small subunit ribosomal RNA", at positions 334 to 917 of the family's 1533-position model. The record is from RNAcentral.
UACUCCUACGGGAGGCAGCAGUGGGGAAUUUUGGACAAUGGGGGCAACCCUGAUCCAGCCAUGCCGCGUGUCUGAAGAAGGCCUUCGGGUUGUAAAGGACUUUUGUCCGGGAAGAAAAGCGCGAUGUUAAUACCAUUGCGUGCUGACGGUACCGGAAGAAUAAGCACCGGCUAACUACGUGCCAGCAGCCGCGGUAAUACGUAGGGUGCGAGCGUUAAUCGGAAUUACUGGGCGUAAAGCGGGCGCAGACGGUUACUUAAGCAGGAUGUGAAAUCCCCGGGCUCAACCUGGGAAUUGCGUUCUGAACUGGGUGGCUAGAGUGUGUCAGAGGGGGGUAGAAUUCCGCGUGUAGCAGUGAAAUGCGUAGAGAUGUGGAGGAAUACCGAUGGCGAAGGCAGCCCCCUGGGAUGGCACUGACGUUCAUGCCCGAAAGCGUGGGUAGCAAACAGGAUUAGAUACCCUGGUAGUCCACGCCCUAAACGAUGUCGAUUAGCUGUUGGGCAACUUGAUUGCUUGGUAGCGAAGCUAACGCGUGAAAUCGACCGCCUGGGGAGUACGGUCGCAAGAUUAAAACUCAAAGGAAUUGACGGA